CUCCCCAGAAGCCAGGGGAUUUUCUAGGUGUAUGGGCUGGCAUAUCUUGAAAACGUGUUUUUCUACUGCAACGUACCGUCAAUACUUCUUGGGCUCACAUGCAGUUUAAAUUGCACCGGUGAGGACCAUGCAGAUUCAUCACACUUCUGUGCUUAGUAAAAGGCAUUGAGGGUUAGACUACUAGCAGCAGUCUGUCUCCUGUUUGCAGUCAGUUAUCAGGAAAUAAAUGAUCACCACAUAUGGACGUGCAAAAGAAGAAAAUAGCUGGUGGGUGAGUCCAGCAGACCUUUUAUCUCUUGAGGUCAUUGAUUGAUUUGCUAUGCUGAAAUUCACAUGAAUUUUAUUCCUUCACCACUUUCCAGUAAGAAGAACAGCAGAAUGGUUGGGAAGGAAAAAGGAGAAGGAAUAGGGAAGGAGAAGAAGAGCAAGGAAUGACCAAAAGGAGUAUGCUUGCUAUUUGCCAGAGAAAGCUUAGCAGUGGGAAUUGGAGGUGCUUUAGCUGCACUGAAAAUGAUCUGUUCCCACCUUCAGGGAGGGGACGGCAAAGGCUGAGUGAGAAGAGAUCAGCCCCAGGGCAAGCAGUGGGUGUGUUGUCUCUAGGUACAGGGAGCUCUGCUGGGUUUGGAGGCACAGUCUGUCUGCUGAGGGUGGCAAAAGGAAAGUGUCUCUUGGAGAACUCUGAGACCUCCAAAGCUUAGAAGCAUAACAAAAAAAGUCCCUCUGAUUUUGGAGCACUGGAGCCAUAGAGCUUUCUGAGUUUUCUCCAUUAUUGUGAAGAUGUGGAAGGUCCUUCUGGUUUCCAAGAAAAUCUGGGACUCUUGCAGCUUCCCUCCAGGAUCUUGCGCCCCUAUCUCCUGCCCCAAUUCCAAACCCAGUCUGCCAAGUAUCUCAAGACUUUCAAUUAAAUCUGUUGUAAGUAUAUUUGUGAUCACUGGCAACAUGGCGUCACUGGAAGAGCUCCUACUCCCGUAGCUGAAGGAUUUGGGUGCCCUCUGUAUUUCACAUCUGCACUGAUGUCCAUGGCAUAGUUUACUUGCUUUGUAAAAUAAUGUCUUAUUUGCACAGUAACCUCAGCUACGGAAUGAAAAUGUCUUCUCUGGCCCAAAUUGUGAGCUAUUAUAAAUCUGACAGAACCCAUGCUAGAGGUGACUGCACUUCAGUGGUGGGAAAAGUGAUUUUAAUUUUGUUCUGGCACUGUUCCCAUAAACGAAACUUCUAUAAUAUUUCUCUUUGAGAUACAUAGGAGUUUUGCCUCCUGUGAACCUUCAGCGUAAGGUCAUCAUUUUGUAAAACACUAAAAGAAUGACUGAGGUGAGUGCUAGAAUGAGGUUUGUUUGCCAAAGAUUUUUUCUGUCUUUAUGUUUGGUUUCCCUUGAGAUGAUGAGAGUUGACUUUUGCACCUAACACUUGAAUCUUUUUCAAAACUGGCUGUGCUCGGUAGGACUCACUUGUAGAAUUACAUCACUGAUGAGCAUUUUUGAUAUAUUGUUUAUUCCACUGUGUAUUUCUAGCCUAAUGAGUUAUAACUUUGCUGCUAAUUAGGUAUGCCACUGGCUGAAAUUUAAAAUCAAAAUCCUUUCCAGGGCUGUAGCUAGCAUUAAGCAUCAUAAUGUCAUAAAUAAGUGUAAGCAGAGUUUGUGCUGCUCCUGCACCUGUGGGGACUUCUGCUUGCCACUCUGUGGGCCACUGUCUGAGCCAGAAUAGUUGUUUGUAUGGCCACAGAGGAAACUGGGAAAGGAAACUGAUGCAAGUGAAACAGAAAUCAGGAAACACAAAUGGUUAUUUUUUCAGCAGGAUCAGUUCCCUGACCUGGCUCAUCAUGCAGCCCUGUGAACAGCUGAGCUGGCAUAGUGCAGAAGAUGGUGCAAGGAGAGGAUAAAGUGGCUAUGAGUACCCCACUGCUGCUUAGGGAAACACAGCCAUAGUUACCUCUCCCAUGGUCCAAGGAUUUUAUAACUGAUGAUCUGUAUGCAAGGUCUUUUCCAAGGACAGAUCUUACCAUUAAGGAAUUAACAGAGUACCAAAAGCAAGCAUUAACAUAACUAACUAUAUCUGAACACAGUUUUCAGAAUGAUGUCCUCUUCUGGGCCCUCAGUGGGUUGUGACAGAAAAAGGUAGAUGAAGACCUUAUGGCAGCCACAUUCCUCUGUCUCCUGUUAAUACAAGUCUUAUCACCAAAGCUAUGAAGAACAGGCACUCCUGUAGUGGUGGCACAAAAUAAUUUCACAGUUGCUGUGUGAGAUUGUCUGAACACCUUGCCAGAUCUCAUGGGAAAGCUUUUUAAUAUAACUGAGCUUUUCUUAUCACUCUUGUUAUACAAUUCCAGUGAGAAUCUGAGUUUUUACUGGAAUAAAAAUACUAAA
Non-coding RNA from Meleagris gallopavo (turkey), 2363 nucleotides. Lineage: Eukaryota; Metazoa; Chordata; Aves; Galliformes; Phasianidae. The record is from RefSeq and is a predicted model, not a curated record.